RNAcentral lists this transfer RNA (72 nucleotides) under Asparagus officinalis (garden asparagus). RNAcentral describes it as "tRNA A4U43_Asn86". It matches the Rfam family "tRNA". Rfam says of the family: Transfer RNA (tRNA) molecules are approximately 80 nucleotides in length. Their secondary structure includes four short double-helical elements and three loops (D, anti-codon, and T loops). Lineage: Eukaryota; Viridiplantae; Streptophyta; Magnoliopsida; Asparagales; Asparagaceae. The record is from Rfam by way of RNAcentral.
UCCUCAGUAGCUCAGUGGUAGAGCAGUCAGAUGUUAACUGACUGGUCGUAGGUUUGAAUCCUACUUGGGUAG